GGAGAUGUACUCAAGUGGCUGAAGAGGCUCCCCUGCUAAGGGAGUAGGCCGUUAACGCGGCGCGGAGGUUCAAAUCCUCUCAUCUCCG
RNAcentral lists this transfer RNA (88 nucleotides) under Clostridiales bacterium. RNAcentral describes it as "tRNA-Ser". It matches the Rfam family "tRNA". From Rfam's summary of the family: Transfer RNA (tRNA) molecules are approximately 80 nucleotides in length. RNAcentral also lists the same sequence under 1 other name. Lineage: Bacteria; Bacillati; Bacillota; Clostridia; Eubacteriales. The record is from RNAcentral.